This 492-nucleotide ribosomal RNA is filed under the name uncultured bacterium. RNAcentral describes it as "partial 16S ribosomal RNA". It matches the Rfam family "Bacterial small subunit ribosomal RNA", at positions 28 to 507 of the family's 1533-position model. The record is from RNAcentral.
GACGAACGCUGGCGGCGUGCUUAACACAUGCAAGUCGAACGGAAAGGCCCCCACUUUUUUGGUGGGGGUGCUCGAGUGGCGAACGGGUGAGUAACACGUGGGUGAUCUACCCUGUACUUCGGGAUAAGCUUGGGAAACUGGGUCUAAUACCGGAUAGGACCAUGGUUUAGUGUCUCAUGGUGGAAAAAUUAUUGUUUUGGUGCAGGAUGAGCUCGCGGCCUAUCAGCUUGUUGGUGGGGUAAUGGCCUACCAAGGCGUCGACGGGUAGCCGGCCUGAGAGGGUGGACGGCCACAUUGGGACUGAGAUACGGCCCAGACUCCUACGGGAGGCAGCAGUGGGGAAUAUUGCACAAUGGGCGCAAGCCUGAUGCAGCGACGCCGCGUGGGGGAUGACGGCCUUCGGGUUGUAAACUCCUUUCGUUAGGGACGAAGCCGCACCUUUUUUGGGUGUGGUGACGGUACCUUUGUGAAGAAGCACCGGCUAACUACGUG